Molecule: ribosomal RNA, 584 nt
Filed under: uncultured bacterium
Lineage: Bacteria
Description: partial 16S ribosomal RNA
Rfam family: Bacterial small subunit ribosomal RNA
Source: RNAcentral
UGGGGAAUUUUGGACAAUGGGCGAAAGCCUGAUCCAGCAAUGCCGCGUGUGUGAAGAAGGCCUUCGGGUUGUAAAGCACUUUUGUCCGGAAAGAAAUCCUUGGCUCUAAUACAGUCGGGGGAUGACGGUACCGGAAGAAUAAGCACCGGCUAACUACGUGCCAGCAGCCGCGGUAAUACGUAGGGUGCAAGCGUUAAUCGGAAUUACUGGGCGUAAAGCGUGCGCAGGCGGUUUGCUAAGACCGAUGUGAAAUCCCCGGGCUCAACCUGGGAACUGCAUUGGUGACUGGCAGGCUAGAGUAUGGCAGAGGGGGGUAGAAUUCCACGUGUAGCAGUGAAAUGCGUAGAGAUGUGGAGGAAUACCGAUGGCGAAGGCAGCCCCCUGGGCCAAUACUGACGCUCAUGCACGAAAGCGUGGGGAGCAAACAGGAUUAGAUACCCUGGUAGUCCACGCCCUAAACGAUGUCAACUAGUUGUUGGGGAUUCAUUUCCUUAGUAACGUAGCUAACGCGUGAAGUUGACCGCCUGGGGAGUACGGUCGCAAGAUUAAAACUUAAAUGAAUUGACGGGGUCAUACUGUUUCCU